This 497-nucleotide ribosomal RNA is filed under the name uncultured bacterium. Its description in RNAcentral is "partial 16S ribosomal RNA". It matches the Rfam family "Bacterial small subunit ribosomal RNA", at positions 28 to 507 of the family's 1533-position model. The record is from RNAcentral.
GACGAACGCUGGCGGCGUGCCUAAUACAUGCAAGUUGAGCGAUGAAGAUUGGUGCUUGCACCAAUUUGAAGAGCAGCGAACGGGUGAGUAACGCGUGGGGAAUCUGCCUUUGAGCGGGGGACAACAUUUGGAAACGAAUGCUAAUACCGCAUAACAACUUUAAACAUAAGUUUUAAGUUUGAAAGAUGCAAUUGCAUCACUCAAAGAUGAUCCCGCGUUGUAUUAGCUAGUUGGUGAGGUAAAGGCUCACCAAGGCGAUGAUACAUAGCCGACCUGAGAGGGUGAUCGGCCACAUUGGGACUGAGACACGGCCCUAACUCCUACGGGAGGCAGCAGUAGGGAAUCUUCGGCAAUGGACGAAAGUCUGACCGAGCAACGCCGCGUGAGUGAAGAAGGUUUUCGGAUCGUAAAACUCUGUUGGUAGAGAAGAACGUUGGUGAGAGUGGAAAGCUCAUCAAGUGACGGUAACUACCCAGAAAGGGACGGCUAACUACGUG